Molecule: ribosomal RNA, 630 nt
Filed under: Staphylococcus aureus
Lineage: Bacteria; Bacillati; Bacillota; Bacilli; Caryophanales; Staphylococcaceae
Description: partial 23S ribosomal RNA
Rfam family: Bacterial large subunit ribosomal RNA
Source: RNAcentral
CCUAUAAUCGUUUUAAUCGAUGGGGGGACGCAGUAGGAUAGGCGAAGCGUGCGAUUGGAUUGCACGUCUAAGCAGUAAGGCUGAGUAUUAGGCAAAUCCGGUACUCGUUAAGGCUGAGCUGUGAUGGGGAGAAGACAUUGUGUCUUCGAGUCGUUGAUUUCACACUGCCGAGAAAAGCCUCUAGAUAGAAAAUAGGUGCCCGUACCGCAAACCGACACAGGUAGUCAAGAUGAGAAUUCUAAGGUGAGCGAGCGAACUCUCGUUAAGGAACUCGGCAAAAUGACCCCGUAACUUCGGGAGAAGGGGUGCUCUUUAGGGUUAACGCCCAGAAGAGCCGCAGUGAAUAGGCCCAAGCGACUGUUUAUCAAAAACACAGGUCUCUGCUAAACCGUAAGGUGAUGUAUAGGGGCUGACGCCUGCCCGGUGCUGGAAGGUUAAGAGGAGUGGUUAGCUUCUGCGAAGCUACGAAUCGAAGCCCCAGUAAACGGCGGCCGUAACUAUAACGGUCCUAAGGUAGCGAAAUUCCUUGUCGGGUAAGUUCCGACCCGCACGAAAGGCGUAACGAUUUGGGCACUGUCUCAACGAGAGACUCGGUGAAAUCAUAGUACCUGUGAAGAUGCAGGUUACCCG